Molecule: ribosomal RNA, 303 nt
Filed under: uncultured bacterium
Lineage: Bacteria
Description: partial 16S ribosomal RNA
Rfam family: Bacterial small subunit ribosomal RNA
Source: RNAcentral
AGCAGUCGCCGCGGUAAGACAGAGGAUGCAAGCGUUAUCCGGAAUGAUUGGGCGUAAAGCGUCUGUAGGUGGCUUCUUAAGUCGGAUGUGAAAUCCCUGAGCUUAACUUAGGAAUUGCAUUCGAUACUGGGAAGCUAGAGUAUGGGAGAGGAUGGUAGAAUUCCAGGUGUAGCGGUGAAAUGCGUAGAGAUCUGGAGGAAUACCGAUGGCGAAGGCAGCCAUCUGGCCUAAUACUGACGCUGAGGUACGAAAGCAUGGGGAGCAAACAGGAUUAGAUACCCCAGUAGUCCCUGUCUCUUAUAC